GCAAUACAAACAUUUGGCAGUGAAAGAUAUUUGGGUAGAAGCAAUAGAAACACAAAACAUUACAUAUUUUGUUACAUAUAUCAACCGAGAAAAAGUAUAAGCAAUGGCUAUUGGGAAUUUAUCAUCUUCCACAGGCUAUCACAAGCAUCAAAAGCAGUCAUUUUUGAUGGGUCAAAUUCAAACUUCUUGACCACCUUUUUAUCUCUAUCUACUAUAUCUGUGAUAAAUUUAAA
This is a long non-coding RNA of Hibiscus syriacus, 233 nucleotides long. RefSeq lists it as uncharacterized. The transcript is spliced from 6 exons. The record is from RefSeq and is a predicted model, not a curated record. Lineage: Eukaryota; Viridiplantae; Streptophyta; Magnoliopsida; Malvales; Malvaceae.